This 279-nucleotide ribosomal RNA is filed under the name uncultured bacterium. RNAcentral's name for it is "partial 16S ribosomal RNA". It matches the Rfam family "Bacterial small subunit ribosomal RNA", at positions 506 to 784 of the family's 1533-position model. The record is from RNAcentral.
UGCCAGCAGCCGCGGUAAUACGGAAGGUGCAAGCGUUGUUCGGAUUGACUGGGCGUAAAGCGCACGUAGGCGGGCGUGUAAGUCGAUUGUGAAAGCCCCGGGCUCAACCUGGGAAUUGCAGUCGAAACUGCAUGUCUUGAAUACCUGAGGGGUUAGUGGAAUUCCUAGUGUAGGAGUGAAAUCCGUAGAUAUUAGGAGGAACACCAGAGGCGAAGGCGACUAACUGGCAGAGUAUUGACGCUGAGGUGCGAAAGCGUGGGUAGCAAACAGGAUUAGAUA